UACGGGGGGGGCAAGCGUUGUUCGGAAUUACUGGGCGUAAAGGGCGCGUAGGCGGUUUGCUAAGUUGGAUGUGAAAACUCUGGGCUUAACCCAGAGCCUGCAUCCAAAACUGGCAAACUUGAGUACUGGAGGGGAAAGCGGAAUUCCUGGUGUAGCGGUGAAAUGCGUAGAGAUCGGGAGGAACACCAGAGGCGAAGGCGGCGACCUGGACAGUUACUGACACUCAACUACGAAAGCGUGGGGAGCAAACAGG
Molecule: ribosomal RNA, 253 nt
Filed under: uncultured bacterium
Lineage: Bacteria
Description: partial 16S ribosomal RNA
Rfam family: Bacterial small subunit ribosomal RNA
Source: RNAcentral